This is a long non-coding RNA of Mytilus californianus (California mussel), 352 nucleotides long. RefSeq lists it as uncharacterized. The transcript has 2 exons. NCBI's taxonomy places the organism in Eukaryota, Metazoa, Mollusca, Bivalvia, Mytilida, Mytilidae. The record is from RefSeq and is a predicted model, not a curated record.
UUGAUUUGCCCAACUAACUAUUUUAAUUAUUUUGUCAGGUUGCUGCAGGCCAUUAGCAUUGACCGUGCAUAUAUGCAGAUAUUUAUUCAUGGUGGAUUAUAGUUAAAUUUAUUUAUCUUCCUGAACUCCAAGCAUGGAUAACAACUACCUGAAUUGAUUGUGGAUAACCUUCAACAGCUAUACCACUCAAACAGUUUAAAUGAUAUUCUGGAUAAUAUAUACAGUUAAAAAUAAGUAAAAACAGUGCUAUACAGACAGUAUUGUGAGGAAUGUGAUUUUUAUAAUGCAUUUUGGUUUUUCGAUUUUUUUUAUUUUUUUUAUUAUUGUUAUAAUAAAUAAAUUUUAGUCUUUA